RNAcentral lists this ribosomal RNA (1310 nucleotides) under Arthrobacter ramosus. Its description in RNAcentral is "bacterial SSU rRNA". It matches the Rfam family "Bacterial small subunit ribosomal RNA", at positions 98 to 1416 of the family's 1533-position model. Lineage: Bacteria; Bacillati; Actinomycetota; Actinomycetes; Micrococcales; Micrococcaceae. The record is from RNAcentral.
GCGAACGGGUGAGUAACACGUGAGUAACCUGCCCUUAACUCUGGGAUAAGCCUGGGAAACUGGGUCUAAUACCGGAUAUGACUCCUCAUCGCAUGGUGGGGGGUGGAAAGCUUUUUGUGGUUUUGGAUGGACUCGCGGCCUAUCAGCUUGUUGGUGAGGUAAUGGCUCACCAAGGCGACGACGGGUAGCCGGCCUGAGAGGGUGACCGGCCACACUGGGACUGAGACACGGCCCAGACUCCUACGGGAGGCAGCAGUGGGGAAUAUUGCMCAAUGGGCGCAAGCCUGAUGCAGCGACGCCGCGUGAGGGAUGACGGCCUUCGGGUUGUAAACCUCUUUCAGUAGGGAAGAAGCGAAAGUGACGGUACCUGCAGAAGAAGCGCCGGCUAACUACGUGCCAGCAGCCGCGGUAAUACGUAGGGCGCAAGCGUUAUCCGGAAUUAUUGGGCGUAAAGAGCUCGUAGGCGGUUUGUCGCGUCUGCCGUGAAAGUCCGGGGCUCAACUCCGGAUCUGCGGUGGGUACGGGCAGACUAGAGUGAUGUAGGGGAGACUGGAAUUCCUGGUGUAGCGGUGAAAUGCGCAGAUAUCAGGAGGAACACCGAUGGCGAAGGCAGGUCUCUGGGCAUUAACUGACGCUGAGGAGCGAAAGCAUGGGGAGCGAACAGGAUUAGAUACCCUGGUAGUCCAUGCCGUAAACGUUGGGCACUAGGUGUGGGGGACAUUCCACGUUUUCCGCGCCGUAGCUAACGCAUUAAGUGCCCCGCCUGGGGAGUACGGCCGCAAGGCUAAAACUCAAAGGAAUUGACGGGGGCCCGCACAAGCGGCGGAGCAUGCGGAUUAAUUCGAUGCAACGCGAAGAACCUUACCAAGGCUUGACAUGGACCGGACUGCUGCAGAGAUGUGGUUUCCCCUUUGGGGCCGGUUCACAGGUGGUGCAUGGUUGUCGUCAGCUCGUGUCGUGAGAUGUUGGGUUAAGUCCCGCAACGAGCGCAACCCUCGUUCUAUGUUGCCAGCGCGUGAUGGCGGGGACUCAUAGGAGACUGCCAGGCGGUCAACUCGGAGGAAGGUGGGGACGACGUCAAAUCAUCAUGCCCCUUAUGUCUUGGGCUUCACGCAUGCUACAAUGGCCGGUACAAAGGGUUGCGAUACUGUGAGGUGGAGCUAAUCCCAAAAAGCCGGUCUCAGUUCGGAUUGGGGUCUGCAACUCGACCCCAUGAAGUCGGAGUCGCUAGUAAUCGCAGAUCAGCAACGCUGCGGUGAAUACGUUCCCGGGCCUUGUACACACCGCCCGUCAAGUCACGAAAGUUGGUA